RNAcentral lists this non-coding RNA (24 nucleotides) under Cricetulus griseus (Chinese hamster). Lineage: Eukaryota; Metazoa; Chordata; Mammalia; Rodentia; Cricetidae. The record is from RNAcentral.
UUUAUAUUGUUCCAAAGCUGUAGC